UUAUGGAGAGUUUGAUCCUGGCUCAGGAUGAACGCUGGCGGCGUGCCUAAUACAUGCAAGUCGAGCGAACGGACGAGAGUGCUUGCACUCUCUGAAGUUAGCGGCGGACGGGUGAGUCACACGUGGGUAACCUACUUAUAAGACUGGGAUAACUUCGGGAAACCGGAGCUUAUAACGGAUAAUAUUUAGCUUCGCAUGAAGCAAUAGUGAAAGACGGUGCUGCUGUCAUGUAUCGAUGGACCCGAGGUGUAUUAGCUAGGUGGUGAGAUAACAGUUCACCAAGGUAACGAUACAUCGCCGAUCUGCGAGGGUGAUCGACUACACUGGGAGUGAGACACGGCCCAG
This 345-nucleotide ribosomal RNA is filed under the name Staphylococcus aureus. Its description in RNAcentral is "bacterial SSU rRNA". It matches the Rfam family "Bacterial small subunit ribosomal RNA", at positions 1 to 334 of the family's 1533-position model. Lineage: Bacteria; Bacillati; Bacillota; Bacilli; Caryophanales; Staphylococcaceae. The record is from RNAcentral.